UACAGAGGGUGCGAGCGUUGUCCGGAAUUACUGGGCGUAAAGGGCGCGUAGGCGGCCUGCUAAGUCGAACGUGAAAUCCCUGGGCUCAACCCAGGAACUGCGUCCGAUACUGGUUGGCUUGAAUCCGGGAGAGGGAUGUGGAAUUCCAGGUGUAGCGGUGAAAUGCGUAGAUAUCUGGAGGAACACCGGUGGCGAAGGCGACAUCCUGGACCGGUAUUGACGCUGAGGCGCGAAAGCCAGGGGAGCAAACGGG
This 253-nucleotide ribosomal RNA is filed under the name uncultured bacterium. Its description in RNAcentral is "partial 16S ribosomal RNA". It matches the Rfam family "Bacterial small subunit ribosomal RNA", at positions 524 to 776 of the family's 1533-position model. The record is from RNAcentral.